UACAGAGGGGGCAAGCGUUGUUCGGAAUUACUGGGCGUAAAGGGCUCGUAGGCGGCCAACUAAGUCGGAUGUGAAAUCCCCAGGCUUAACCUGGGAACUGCAUCCGAUACUGGAUGGCUUGAAUCCGGGAGAGGGAUGCGGAAUUCCAGGUGUAGCGGUGAAAUGCGUAGAUAUCUGGAGGAACACCGGUGGCGAAGGCGGCAUCCUGGACCAUUACUGACACUGAAAAGCGAAAGCCAGGGGAGCAAACGGG
This 253-nucleotide ribosomal RNA is filed under the name uncultured bacterium. Its description in RNAcentral is "partial 16S ribosomal RNA". It matches the Rfam family "Bacterial small subunit ribosomal RNA", at positions 524 to 776 of the family's 1533-position model. The record is from RNAcentral.